This 460-nucleotide ribosomal RNA is filed under the name uncultured bacterium. Its description in RNAcentral is "partial 16S ribosomal RNA". It matches the Rfam family "Bacterial small subunit ribosomal RNA", at positions 338 to 795 of the family's 1533-position model. The record is from RNAcentral.
CCUACGGGAGUCAGCCGUGAGGAAUAUUGGUCAAUGGACGAGAGUCUGAACCAGCCAAGUAGCGUGAAGGAUGACUGCCCUAUGGGUUGUAAACUUCUUUUAUAUGGGAAUAAAAUGUUCCACGUGUGGGAUUUUGUAUGUACCAUAUGAAUAAGGAUCGGCUAACUCCGUGCCAGCAGCCGCGGUAAUACGGAGGAUCCGAGCGUUAUCCGGAUUUAUUGGGUUUAAAGGGAGCGUAGGUGGAUUGUUAAGUCAGUUGUGAAAGUUUGCGGCUCAACCGUAAAAUUGCAGUUGAAACUGGCAGUCUUGAGUACAGUAGAGGUGGGCGGAAUUCGUGGUGUAGCGGUGAAAUGCUUAGAUAUCACGAAGAACUCCGAUUGCGAAGGCAGUUCACUGGACUGCAACUGACACUGAGGCUCGAAAGUGUGGGUAUCAAACAGGAUUAGAUACCCUGGUAGUG